RNAcentral lists this ribosomal RNA (1407 nucleotides) under Triticum aestivum (bread wheat). RNAcentral describes it as "partial small subunit ribosomal RNA". The record is from RNAcentral. Lineage: Eukaryota; Viridiplantae; Streptophyta; Magnoliopsida; Poales; Poaceae.
AUGCUUGACCUUAUUGAGCGUGUUGAGUGGCAGAGCCAUAAGAAACCAGCAGCCGAGCUUCUCCCGCACAUCAAGGAUGCAGUUUAUGAUGCUGAGGACUUUCUUGAUGAGUUCAAAUAUUAUGCACUCAAGUUGAAGCUUGAGGAGAGCAAGAAUUCAGGUGAAGAACACAUGCAUGCUGCCUUUCUAGAGUUCUUCAAAAGUAUCAACAAUUGUGACCACUUCAACAAAGUGAAGGAAAUCCAGAGCGGGCUGGGCGAAACGGCUUAUCAAUCGAAGGAUUUGAGAUUGCAUAAAGCACCAUUGAAGUUUGACAAAUCAAUCAGGCCAGAAACAAGUGCUUUUUCUGAGGUGCCACAAAUAUUUGGCCGUGAAAAAGAACUGAAACACUUGGUUCAAAAGUUAGGAGUACAUACAAGCAAGAGAGGGAGGACCGAGAAUGAAGCCAGAGCGACUGAUUUGUGUGUGCUUCCCAUAUUUGGUAUGGGGGGUGUCGGAAAAACAACUAUUGCACAACAAAUCUGCGAUGAUGCAAAAGUGAAGGAGCACUUUGACUGCAUAAUUUGGACUUGUGUUUCUGAUGAUUUCGACAUAAAGAGGUUAAUUAAAGAGAUUCUGGAGCAGAUGGAACAAGAUACAACAUUUGAUAAUCUGAAUAACCACGUGAGAAAACUGGCUCAUUCUGUGGAAUCUAAGAAGUUGUUACUUGUCCUUGAUGACAUGUGGGGUGAUGCAUUGAGAAAUGGUGGCGCGGAGUGGGACAAAUUUUGCGUACCUUUGAGAAAUGCUCUUCAAGGAAGUAUGAUUUUGGUCACCACUAGAUUUUUUGAGGUUGCUAAUCUAGUCAGCACUGGCAUGAAGAGCUUUGAGUUGGAGGGCUUGCAAGAUGCUAUUUUCUGGGAGUUCUUCAAAUUUUGUGCAUUCGGAUCCAAUAGGAGUUGCAACGACCUAGAGUUGGAGUGCAUUGGAAAAGACAUACUUCCUAAGUUGAAGGGUUCUCCCUUGGCUGCCAAAACUCUUGGACGCUUGUUGCAAAGGGACCUAAGCACAACACAUUGGGAAUCUAUAUUGACAAGUGAGUUGUGGCAAUUAGAACAAGAUGUGGCUGACAUUUUGCCAGCCCUUAGAUUGAGUUAUAUGUACCUACCACCAUUAUUGAAGAAGUGCUUCUCAAUUUGUGCAAUGUAUCCCAAAGAUCACCAAUUUGAUAAAAUGUUUUUAUCAGAUAUUUGGAUAGCACAAGGAUAUGUGGAACCUCAAGAGGCAUCCUUGUGUUUUGAUGAGCUUGUAAAAGGAUCAUUCUUUCAGAGAGCAGCUGAACAAAAUAACAAGUAUGUUAUUCAUGAUUUGAUGCAUGAUACGGCACAGCUGGUCUCAAUGUAUGAAUGCUUCAUCAUAAAACACGCA